GACGAACGCUGGCGGCGUGCUUAACACAUGCAACUCGAACGGAAAGACCCUGCUUUUGUGGGGUGCUCGAGUGGCGAACGGGUGAGUAACACGUGAGUAACCUGCCCUUGACUUUGGGAUAACUUCAGGAAACUGGGGCUAAUACCGGAUAGGAGCUCCUGCUGCAUGGUGGGGGUUGGAAAGUUUCGGCGGUUGGGGAUGGACUCGCGGCUUAUCAGCUUGUUGGUGGGGUAGUGGCUUACCAAGGCUUUGACGGGUAGCCGGCCUGAGAGGGUGACCGGCCACAUUGGGACUGAGAUACGGCCCAGACUCCUACGGGAGGCAGCAGUGGGGAAUAUUGCACAAUGGGCGGAAGCCUGAUGCAGCAACGCCGCGUGCGGGAUGACGGCCUUCGGGUUGUAAACCGCUUUCGCCUGUGACGAAGCGUGAGUGACGGUAAUGGGUAAAGAAGCACCGGCUAACUACGUG
Molecule: ribosomal RNA, 468 nt
Filed under: uncultured bacterium
Lineage: Bacteria
Description: partial 16S ribosomal RNA
Rfam family: Bacterial small subunit ribosomal RNA
Source: RNAcentral